Molecule: ribosomal RNA, 240 nt
Filed under: uncultured bacterium
Lineage: Bacteria
Description: partial 16S ribosomal RNA
Rfam family: Bacterial small subunit ribosomal RNA
Source: RNAcentral
CCGGCGCACGGGUGAGUAACGCGUAUGCAACUUACCUAUCAGGAGGGGAUAACCCGGCGAAAGUCGGACUAAUACCGCAUGAAGCAGGGGCCCCGCAUGGGGAUAUUUGCUAAAGAUUCAUCGCUGAUAGAUAGGCAUGCGUUCCAUUAGGCAGUUGGCGGGGUAACGGCCCACCAAACCGACGAUGGAUAGGGGUUCUGAGAGGAAGGUCCCCCACAUUGGUACUGAGACACGGUCCAA